GAAAUGCGAUAAGUAGUGUGAAUUAUAGACUUUAGUGAAUCAUCGAAUCUUUGAACGCACAUUGCGCCCUUUGGAAUUCCACUAGGCAUGCCUGUUCGAGCGUCAUAUACACCCUCAAGCCUGGCUUGGUGCUAGGCGUCUGUCCCGCUCACAGCGUGGACUCGCCUGAAAGAUAUUGGCAGCCAACCCGCCAGCCUCUCGCGCAGCACUUGCGUCUUCGGGAGGCGAUCAGUAGGCUGGCGUCCUACAAGGACACUGUCGUUUGACCUCGGAUCAGGCAGGGAUACCCGCUGAACUUAA
This 300-nucleotide unclassified non-coding RNA is filed under the name uncultured Ascomycota. RNAcentral describes it as "sequence contains ITS1". The stretch from base 1 to 105 matches the Rfam family "5.8S ribosomal RNA", at positions 50 to 154 of the family's 154-position model. The record is from RNAcentral. Lineage: Eukaryota; Fungi; Ascomycota.